CGUCCUCGAAAUUUAACUUAAUAGGUUCUAAAUGGGAAUAAUGAGCUAGGAUUUCUCUUCUCAUUCUCAUGUAGUUUCUUGGGGUCCGUGCCUAGUUCACUCUAUAUUUGACUAUCGGUGCUUCUUGACUUCGUAAAGCUUGUACUUUUGAUCUAGUAUACUGAUUGACUUCUCUUUUGUACGCUGAUGAAUGAUGUGGCUGAAAUCGUGCAAGUAUUUCGCAAUCCUCGAGACACACAUUUGUACUGCUGACCGUUGUAGCGUGAAAGCUAGACGGUAGGCUACGUCAUCCUAUUCGUUCUCGAAUUUUAAACGAACCUAUAAAUCGAGGUCUCAAUUUUCGUUUCUUUCUGAACCACGGGACUCUAUUUAUCGGUGCUACUUAAGGAGAAUACUUCCGCCAACCUUGAAAUAGAACGUCGAAAUAGAACUUCUUUCUUCUAUCGGUCCCGUGCCAUUUUGAUCCUUUUGUCUCGCAAUCACUUCGAUGGUUGCUUUCACGAUUUUUGGGCCUAACACUUAUCGUUUGCCAAAUACAUCCCUAAUGUAAAGAUGACCUACACUUUUUCCUAUAUAAUGCCUCGUAUAGAGCCUAUGUUGAUAGUAGUUGGAAAACUGCUAUUAUUCGUGAAUUCUAUCGACGGUAAAUGAGCUUCCUAACAAACUCAACUAUCGUUUUCUUCUUUCAUCUUUAACAUCUUGUGAAGGUCUUGGUGUUUCCAGGGCGUGCCGUGUAACUCGUGCGAUGCUCUUGAAAAAUUUUCUCCAUCAGUUUAUUGUCCUUGGGGACCCAAAUUCUGUCUACCUACUAAACAUUCUAUCACUUGCCAAUAUGAAUAUCCAUAUUAUCGUCUCUUAAAUCUCUAUUCGUCAUUCGGUGGAGAAAAGUCGUUGAUUUCCUGAGCUUCCUUAAGUUAAUCUUGUAUCGUGAACACUAAUGUUGCUAACUUAACUUUUUGAGUAUUCGAAGUUACUACGUCGAGUUUCUACCUUUUGAAUUCUCUUAUCAAGGUCUCUUGUUGAGUUAUCAUCCAAGCGAGUUGUCUUUUAUCU
RNAcentral lists this long non-coding RNA (1053 nucleotides) under Salvia miltiorrhiza (redroot sage). RNAcentral describes it as "long non-coding RNA (SMIL_LNC009422)". Lineage: Eukaryota; Viridiplantae; Streptophyta; Magnoliopsida; Lamiales; Lamiaceae. The record is from RNAcentral.